UACAGAGGCCACAAGCGUUAGUCGGAAUCACUGGGCUUAAAGGGUGCGUAGGUGGCCCACCAAGUGUCUUGUGAAAUACCUUAGCUCAACUAAGGAACAGCAGGGCAUACUGGUGGGCUCGAGGCAGGUAAGGGUCGCUGGAGCAAUAGGUGGAGCGGUGAAAUGCGUAGAUAUCUAUUGGAACGCCGAUGGUGAAGACGAGCGACUGGGCCUGACCUGACACUGAGGCACGAAAGCGUGGGGAGCAAACAGG
RNAcentral lists this ribosomal RNA (253 nucleotides) under uncultured bacterium. RNAcentral describes it as "partial 16S ribosomal RNA". It matches the Rfam family "Bacterial small subunit ribosomal RNA", at positions 524 to 776 of the family's 1533-position model. The record is from RNAcentral.